AACCAUUAUUUGCAUCUAUACUAUUUGCAUAUGUAUGGACAUACAAAUAAGCCUUUUUUUAAUUUCAGGAUUGCAUCUGCCACCCGAUCGUGAAAAUUUUAAUAAGCGCCUUUCAAGAUCUCGGCGUGUUAUUGAAAACGCCUUCGGAAUUAUGACAGCACGAUGGAGGAUUUUGCUAUCCCCAUUGCAAAUGCAACCAUCAAGAUCGUGAAAGCAACAGUGCUGCUACAUAAUUUUUUAAAGCUAAACGAUGGCAGUUAUUGUCCACCUGAAUAUGUUGAUCGAUAUGAAGGAGACAAUGUAUUAAAUGGAUUAUGGCGCCAAGAAAUCUCAGCACCCCUACGAGGAACUGGUCGAUUAAUGUCAAACAUCGGUACAAGAAGUGCUUUCGUGUUGAGAUAUCAAUUGAAAGGUUAUAUAGCCGCGCAUCCUAUUAAUUAAAUACACACCUAUUCAAUUAAGUCACUCACAUAACAUGUAUGUAGUUGCAUACAAUAGAAGUAUUAGUCAUUGCGGUAUGUAAAAAUAUGUAAAUAUUAAGCUGUAUAUUGCUUCCCUUUACAAUUAUUUUGCGCACUUUUUCUACGACGAUAAAACUCAAUGAUUAAUUAUACUCUUCUAUAGAAUAUCAUGAGCUUCCUGGAAACUGGCGAUGGCAAGGCAUUGGUGCAUCAACUUCAAGUUAAUUAUAUUCACCAGCUCAUACAGGCACGCUUAGUCGAAAAUCCAAAGGCACUAAGCGAGGUAUAUAACUGUUCGCAUCACUUUUGUCAGUCUCUGCAGCUUAAAGUACUUUACACACAAACGCUACGUCUCAACUAUGAACGUUUGGAUGAGAAUAUUAACAUUGAAGAAUGUGUACCAGGUGUGAGAAUAAUUACCCAACCGCACUUGCUUCAACGCCGAUAAAAGCUAAUUACAGAAAAUUAUAAUAUAAUUAUGACACCUAUAAUUCGCUGAGUUCGAUUGCCAAGGUGCCUAUAAUGCCUCGCAAUCUAAUCGAAAAAUUUUCGCGAGUUCUAUAUGAAAUUGAUAAAAUUUAUUCUGCUGGUUUUUGCUGUUUGGUAUGGAAAACAUAUAUAAAAAAACGUGAGGGUAUUCAUAUUGUUGAUGCUGGCUGUUUGUAUAUAUAGUGGCGUUCAAAAUAAUAGCAGAAAAAUUAAAAAUGACACU
Rhagoletis pomonella (apple maggot) is the source of this 1173-nucleotide RNA transcript. It is a transcript of the gene named mediator of RNA polymerase II transcription subunit 14-like, with no coding region annotated. Lineage: Eukaryota; Metazoa; Arthropoda; Insecta; Diptera; Tephritidae. The record is from RefSeq and is a predicted model, not a curated record. The transcript is spliced from 3 exons.